GGAAACCGGAGCUAAUACCGGAUAAUAUUUUGAACCGCAUGGUUCAAAAGUGAAAGACGGUCUUGCUGUCACUUAUAGAUGGAUCCGCGCUGCAUUAGCUAGUUUGUAAGGUAACGGCUUACCAAGGCAAUGAUGCAUAGCCGACCUGAGAGGGUGAUCGGCCACACUGGAACUGAGACACGGUCCAG
RNAcentral lists this ribosomal RNA (188 nucleotides) under uncultured Staphylococcus sp. RNAcentral's name for it is "partial 16S ribosomal RNA". It matches the Rfam family "Bacterial small subunit ribosomal RNA", at positions 152 to 334 of the family's 1533-position model. The record is from RNAcentral. Lineage: Bacteria; Bacillati; Bacillota; Bacilli; Caryophanales; Staphylococcaceae.